UCGGGUUGAGUAGAGCGGCGGACGGGUGAGUAACGCGUAGGAAUCUACCUGGUAGUGGGGGACAACUCGGGGAAACUCGAGCUAAUACCGCAUACGCCCUGAGGGGGAAAGCGGGGGAUCUUCGGACCUCGCGCUAUUGGAUGAGCCUGCGUUGGAUUAGCUGGUUGGUGGGGUAAAGGCCUACCAAGGCGACGAUCCAUAGCUGGUCUGAGAGGAUGAUCAGCCACACCGGGACUGAGACACGGCCCGGACUCCUACGGGAGGCAGCAGUGGGGAAUAUUGCGCAAUGGGGGCAACCCUGACGCAGCCAUGCCGCGUGUGUGAAAGAAGGCCUUCGGGUUGUAAAAGCACUUUCACUUGGGAAGAAACGCUGUCGGUUAAUACCCGCCAGUUUUGACAUUACCUUGAGAAGAAGCACCGGCUAACUCCGUGCCAGCAGCCGCGGUAAUACGGAGGGUGCGAGCGUUAAUCGGAAUUACUGGGCGUAAAAGCGCGCGUAGGCGGUUUGUAACGUCGGAUGUGAAAGCCCCGGGCUCAACCUGGGAAUUGCCCCGAUACUGGCCGACUGGAGUGCGAGAAAGGGAGGUAAAAUUCCACGUGUAGCGGUGAAAUGCGUAGAUAUGUGGAGGAAUACCGGUGGCGAAGGCGGCCUCCUGGCUCGACACUGACGCUUAGGUGCGACAGCUGGGGAGCAAAAGGGAUAGAUACCCUGGUAGUCCACGCCGUAAACGAUGUCGACUAGCCCGUUGGGAACUUGAGUCCUUGGUGGGGCAGUUAACGCGGAUAAGUCGACCGCCUGGGGAGUACGGCCGCAAGGUUAAACUUCAUUGAAUUGCUGGGGCCGCCAAAGCGGUGGAGCAUGUGGUUAAAUCCGAUGCACGCGAAGAACCUUACCAGGCCUUGACAUCCUUGGAAUCCUGCAGAGAUGCGGGAGUGCCUUCGGGAAUCAAGUGACAGGUGCUGCAUGGCUGUCGUCAGCUCGUGUCGUGAGAUGUUGGGUUAAGUCCCGUAACGAGCGCAACCCCUGUCCUUAGUUGCCAGCGAGUAGAGUCGGGAACUCUAAGGAGACUGACGGUGACAAACCGUAGGAAGGUGGGGACGACGUCAAGUCAUCAUGGCCCUUACGGCCUGGGCUACACACGUGCUACAAUGGUACGCACGGAGGGCAGCGACCCCGCGAGGGUGAGCGAAUCCCACAAAACGUUUCGUAGUCCGGAUUGGAGUCUGCAACUCGACUCCAUGAAGUCGGAAUCGCUAGUAAUCGCGAAUCA
This 1271-nucleotide ribosomal RNA is filed under the name uncultured organism. RNAcentral's name for it is "bacterial SSU rRNA". It matches the Rfam family "Bacterial small subunit ribosomal RNA", at positions 81 to 1351 of the family's 1533-position model. The record is from RNAcentral.